CCUACGGGAGGCUGCAGUGGGGAAUAUUGCACAAUGGGGGGAACCCUGAUGCAGCGACGCCGCGUGAGUGAAGAAGUAUUUCGGUAUGUAAAGCUCUAUCAGCAGGGAAGAAAAUGACGGUACCUGACUAAGAAGCCCCGGCUAACUACGUGCCAGCAGCCGCGGUAAUACGUAGGGGGCAAGCGUUAUCCGGAUUUACUGGGUGUAACGGGAGCGUAGACGGUUCUGCAAGUCUGCAGUGAAAGCCCAAGGCUCCACCAUGGGACUGCUUUGGAAACUGUCAAACUGGAGUGCAGGAGAGGUAAGCGGACUUCCUAGUGUAGCGGUGCACUGCUUAUAUAUUAGGCGGAACACCAGUGGCGAAGGCGGCUUACUGGACUGUACCUGCCGUUGAUGCUCGAAGGCGUGGGGAGCAAACAGGAUUAGCUACCCUAGUAGUC
RNAcentral lists this ribosomal RNA (440 nucleotides) under uncultured bacterium. Its description in RNAcentral is "partial 16S ribosomal RNA". It matches the Rfam family "Bacterial small subunit ribosomal RNA", at positions 338 to 795 of the family's 1533-position model. The record is from RNAcentral.